CAUCACUACGCUAGAUGCAUAUCAAUAAGCGGAGGAAAAGAAACUAACUAAGGAUUCCCUCAGUAACGGCGAGUGAAGCGGGAAGAGCUCAAAUUUGAAAUCUUCAAGGUUUUACCUUGACGAAUUGUAGUUUAAAGAAGUGUUUUCUGUUGGAGUUUUGGUAAAAGUUCUUUGGAAUAGGACAUCAUAGAGGGUGAGAAUCCCGUAUUUGACCAGUUACUUUCCAGCUUUGUGAUACACUUUCAAAGAGUCGGAUUGUUUGGGAAUGCAGUCCAAAAUGGGUGGUAAAUUUCAUCUAAAGCUAAAUAUUGGCGAGAGACCGAUAGCGAACAAGUACCGUGAGGAAAGAUGAAAAGAACUUUGAAAAGAGAGUUAAACAGUACGUGAAAUUGUCAAAAGGGAAGCGUUUGACACCAGUGUUGUUUUCUCGAAAAUCAAUUAAAAAUGGAUGGGAUUUUGUGUUGUAUUGACUUUAUCAGCUUUCUGCACUUUUUUUCCUAUCUUUUUUAAUGCACUUUUCGUUUAACAAGUCAACAUCAAUUUCUUUUGUUGUAAAAGAGUCAUUGGAAGGUGGCUUUCUUUUCGGAGAAAGUGUUUAUAGCCUUUGGCUUCUGCAAUCGGAGAGAUUGAGGUCUGCAGCGUAGAUCCUUCGGGGUUAGAUACAUUUGUGCUAAGUUAUAGCCUUUCAUAGACAACUUGUUGACUAUGAUCAGUCAUGUAGCUUACUCGCUUAUGCUAUUUUACCUACGCUUAGGAUGUUGAUAUGCAUGACUGAUAU
Molecule: ribosomal RNA, 778 nt
Filed under: uncultured Neocallimastigales
Lineage: Eukaryota; Fungi; Neocallimastigomycota; Neocallimastigomycetes; Neocallimastigales
Description: partial large subunit ribosomal RNA
Rfam family: Eukaryotic large subunit ribosomal RNA
Source: RNAcentral